RNAcentral lists this ribosomal RNA (551 nucleotides) under Trichoderma strigosum. Its description in RNAcentral is "eukaryotic LSU rRNA". The stretch from base 173 to 326 matches the Rfam family "5.8S ribosomal RNA". Lineage: Eukaryota; Fungi; Ascomycota; Sordariomycetes; Hypocreales; Hypocreaceae. The record is from RNAcentral.
CCCAAACCCAAUGUGAACCAUACCAAACUGUUGCCUCGGCGGGGUCACGCCCCGGGUGCGUCGCAGCCCCGGAACCAGGCGCCCGCCGGAGGGACCAACCAAACUCUUUACUGUAGUCCCCUCGCGGACGUUAUUUCUUACAGCUCUGAGCAAAAAAUUCAAAAUGAAUCAAAACUUUCAACAACGGAUCUCUUGGUUCUGGCAUCGAUGAAGAACGCAGCGAAAUGCGAUAAGUAAUGUGAAUUGCAGAAUUCAGUGAAUCAUCGAAUCUUUGAACGCACAUUGCGCCCGCCAGUAUUCUGGCGGGCAUGCCUGUCCGAGCGUCAUUUCAACCCUCGAACCCCUCCGGGGGGUCGGCGUUGGGGAUCGGGAACCCCUCAGACGGGAUCCCGGCCCCGAAAUACAGUGGCGGUCUCGCCGCAGCCUCUCCUGCGCAGUAGUUUGCACAACUCGCACCGGGAGCGCGGCGCGUCCACGUCCGUAAAACACCCAACUUUCUGAAAUGUUGACCUCGGAUCAGGUAGGAAUACCCGCUGAACUUAAGCAUAUCA